This 300-nucleotide ribosomal RNA is filed under the name uncultured bacterium. RNAcentral describes it as "bacterial SSU rRNA". It matches the Rfam family "Bacterial small subunit ribosomal RNA", at positions 399 to 691 of the family's 1533-position model. The record is from RNAcentral.
GCGUGUGGGAAGAAGGCCUUCGGGUUGUAAACCACUUUUGUCAGGGAAGAAACGGCUCUUACUAAUAUUAGGGGCUAAUGACGGUACCUGAAGAAUAAGCACCGGCUAACUACGUGCCAGCAGCCGCGGUAAUACGUAGGGUGCAAGCGUUAAUCGGAAUUACUGGGCGUAAAGCGUGCGCAGGCGGCUUUGCAAGACAGAUGUGAAAUCCCCGGGCUCAACCUGGGAACUGCAUUUGUGACUGCAUGGCUAGAGUACGGUAGAGGGGGAUGGAAUUCCGCGUGUAGCAGUGAAAUGCGU